AUGGGGUCUAUGAUAAAUGAAUUAAAUAUUCACUUGAAUACCUAAUAUAUUUCUAAACUUAUUGUGGCCAAAGGGCUCCUGAUUCCCCUCACCACCAGCUUCUCACCAGGGGAUGCUUCUGUAGAUUGUGAGAUCUGAGAAGCUUUUGAAGAUGUUAUUUGAGUUGAGAUAUGAAUGGUGAAGUAUCUCUGUUCAUUCCAGGUAUGAAGGUGGGAAAGCGUUGGCUUUGGGGUGGAAAUGAGUUUAGUGUGUUGGAGACAGUCAGUAUGAAAUGUUGGAAUGUAUCCAGAGAAGAAAUAGUGGUAGAUGAGGCUAGAGAGGUGGAACGGGCCUUGAUCUUUCAGGGCAGAAUAAGGAGUUAUGAUGUCACUUUAAUGAUGGCAGCAAGUCUGUAGAGUGUUCUAGGUCUGGGGAUUGAUGGCCUCAUGACCAUGGCUACUGUGUAGUGACUGAUUGGUGGAGGCAGAAGAGGAAAUGGGGACCUUUCAGAGCUGUUGUCUGGGUAAGAAGCCAUAGUAGCUAUAGCUAAGAACUUAAGUGUGGAUUCUAUGUGGAAGGCAGGAGGUGAGUAGUCAAGAGUUGAUUUCUAGGUUUUAGUUGAGCAACUGAAUGUGUGAGGGUUCAAUUACUAAGAUG
Molecule: long non-coding RNA, 636 nt
Organism: Sapajus apella (tufted capuchin)
Lineage: Eukaryota; Metazoa; Chordata; Mammalia; Primates; Cebidae
Exons: 2
Source: RefSeq, a predicted model, not a curated record